AUUGAACGCUGGCGGCAGGCCUAACACAUGCAAGUCGAGCGGAUGAAGGGAGCUUGCUCCUGGAUUCAGCGGCGGACGGGUGGGUAAUGCCUAGGAAUCUGCCUGGUAGUGGGGGAUAACGUCCUGAAACGGGCGCUAAUACCGCAUACGUCCUGAGGGAGAAAGUGGGGGAUCUUCGGACCUCACGCUAUCAGAUGAGCCUAGGUCGGAUUAGCUAGUUGGUGGGGUAAAGGCCUACCAAGGCGACGAUCCGUAACUGGUCUGAGAGGAUGAUCAGUCACACUGGAACUGAGACACGGUCCAGACUCCUACGGGAGGCAGCAGUGGGGAAUAUUGGACAAUGGGCGAAAGCCUGAUCCAGCCAUGCCGCGUGUGUGAAGAAGGUCUUCGGAUUGUAAAGCACUUUAAGUUGGGAGGAAGGGCAGUAAGUUAAUACCUUGCUGUUUUGACGUUACCAACAGAAUAAGCACCGGCUAACUUCGUG
RNAcentral lists this ribosomal RNA (484 nucleotides) under uncultured bacterium. RNAcentral's name for it is "partial 16S ribosomal RNA". It matches the Rfam family "Bacterial small subunit ribosomal RNA", at positions 30 to 507 of the family's 1533-position model. The record is from RNAcentral.